This is a non-coding RNA of Brassica napus (rape), 106 nucleotides long. The record is from Rfam. Lineage: Eukaryota; Viridiplantae; Streptophyta; Magnoliopsida; Brassicales; Brassicaceae.
GUCACUUCGGGACAUCCGAUAAAAUUUGAACGAUACAUGGAAGAUUAGCAUGGUCCCUGCGGAAGGAAGGAUGACAUACACAAAUCGAGAAAUUAUCCAAAAUUUU